This is a long non-coding RNA of Drosophila yakuba, 571 nucleotides long. RefSeq lists it as uncharacterized. NCBI's taxonomy places the organism in Eukaryota, Metazoa, Arthropoda, Insecta, Diptera, Drosophilidae. The transcript has 2 exons. The record is from RefSeq and is a predicted model, not a curated record.
UCGACAUGAGUUGGCCAACAAAUCAAGUGUGCGGGAUAUGAAAGUACAAAUAAUAAAAUACAAGAAACGAAGAAAUCAUAAGUAAGAACUGAAAAGUGUGCACAAUUGUAAAAUAAAAACUAAUUUAAGUUAGUAAGGAUAGGCUACUACUUUUGUUACAAGUGACGGUGACUAAACCUCAACUGGAGGAAAGUCCUGCCGCAGGCCGUUCUCUUUGUGCUUUUCGCACAGGCUUCGAAGCCUUGUAAUUUCAAUAAUGGAAAUUAUAAGCACCUAUCAAAGCGUCUGUGUGCGGGUGAAUUGGGUGGGGAACUUGUGUACAUGGGCUGUGAAUAAUGAAAUGAAUGAAAUGUGAUGUAUUCCGGCCAUAUGGCCACCGAAAAAGUGCGUCAUCGCGGGCGAAGGUCAACGAUGGCCGUGAUAGCCGGCAGUUAACCGGAUACUUUAUCAUUAAUGGCGGAAUAUGUUUGUGAAUAUCUACAUGGCAGAUGAAUGAGUUGUUAUAAUGUAACCAAAAUACUGUGUUAAAUUAAGUUGAAGUAUAGAAAAGGGUAGCAAUAAUGUAAGGAUA